GAUUACUGAUAGUGUUUGUAAGAUGUUCAGCACAGUGGAGGGCAAAAGUAGCCCUUCAGUAUUUGGUAGAUGUAGGAAAAGUUUAAAUCAUCUUAGAGAGGUGGUUUUUCCCUUGUGCUCUGGAAAAAGAGAAGCCUCAUCUGCCAUGAAUGCCCUCUAAUCGUCCUUUGUGAGUCAAACUGUCACUGCUAGGACAGCCUGCCUUUUGUCUCUCUGCAUGGCAGCUGGAGCCCACCUCCCUCGGUCUGCCCAACGUCGAGCCUGGCAGUAUCAGGGCACCACCCCUGGAGAGAAGCACCCAGGCCCCUGGCUACCUACAGGACCUCUCCUCAUCUAGUUCCUACUGAAGAGCUCACAGAUCACACAGAAUACUCUGGUCCUGCUGAAGCAGCAGAUUUUAUUUUUCAGUAAUCUCUACACCCAACAUGGGGCUCGAACUCACAACCCUGAGAUCAAGAGUCACAGGCUCUACCGACUGAACCAGCCAGGAGCACCUGAAAACUCAUUUGGGGGCACUUGGGUGGCUCAGUAGGGUGAGUCCCAGUCCCAUAGCCCCUGCAGUGUCCUUGCAGGGGGCCGGAGCUGGAGGAUCGACAUACAUAGAUUCAUAGUCCCCAUUCUCACGGAGGCGCUCCUGAGUUUCCCAGACAGCUGCAGCAGCCGCACAGCCUCGGAAGUAUUGGUGUCACCCAGGACGCAGCACCAGGCAUCUUUUCACCUUGCCCUUGUUCUACUCAGAAUCUCUGGCAACUGUUCAAGGUCUUCUGCUUAUACUUCCUGAUAACAAUCCUCCUUUGGGGUGAUGAAAGAGGCCUGGGAAGUCCCUUCCUAUUUACCGAGGAAGCAUGGUCUUGUCUCCUGGGAACAGAAUCCAUAGCCUUUCUGUGAUGGAAAGUGCCAUGGGUCAGAGGUCCCAUCGUGCCACCAACUCUCAGAGUGACAGGGGUCAGUUGCUUCUUUUGUAUGCGCCCAAUUUCCCCACCUGUAAAAUUAAGGGACCAAGAUGCAUAUUCCUCUGUCUCUGAUAGUCUGGACAAGUGAAGGCAGCCUUGUGUUCCUUUGAGAAGGCUCCAAAACUAAGCUCUAGACUUCUCCUCAAAGAUGUGUAAUGUCUGGUUGGUGUUGCCUCUAACCUCCCCCUCCUGAGUGUGCUCAACUAUGAGGAACAAGUUGGAAAUGGAGAACUUUGGUGCUGAGAAGAUGUCAGGUAGAUUGUUAGAUGUAUAACAAAGUAUGCAGUGGAAUUAGACAUUAGCAGGGCUUUUUCUUUUCCUUUAAAGCUGAUAAAAAUGACUACUUUGAAAGGGCCAUGUUAUGGGCAGACUAAAUGCAUAUUUUGAAAGAGACUACUUAGUACUUCCACUGGUCAUACGGGAAGAGAAAGACCUUCUCUCUCUGGGCUGAGGGUGUUGUGUGUCAUGGAGAUUCCUGGGGAUUGGGUCAGGUGAGGGUGGACAGCCAGAUGAAGGAUGCCCCAAGAGGACCCUAUCUUUGGAAGAUACCUGGGAACCAGGAGAAACGAGCAUCACAAGGGAUUCUGCAGAAAGGCUGAGCCUGGGAGCUCUCUGAGGAGAUGUGUGGAGCAGCAGUGGAGGAGAGAUUCCUGCUCGUGGAAAAAGGGGCCGAUGGGAGAGCCAGGUCUUCGGGCAGAGGACCCCACAGCAGUGCGCUGGCAGGGCUCAGCCCAGCCACCAGCAGAGAGAUGCUCUCACAAAGACAUUGGGCAGAAGAAGCAGCACUGCUGUGGCCAAAGACGAGUGAGGAGCCUGUCUCGAAGCUUGUCUGAAGCCUGGCUCCAGAGCCCAUGAAGGAUGGCACUUGGGAACACCCUACAAACAUCAGGGAGCAGAUCUUCAGAGACAGACCGGAUUCCCUGCAUUGAGAGGGCAAGGGCUGGGGUAGAACAGGAAGUGGUCCUUCCUUUACAACUAGAGGGCUGGCAAGACUGGAGUCGUGAGAGCUGCUCCUCAUAGCAUUUACUCUGCAGCACACAGAGAUACUGUGCAGAACAGGGCAAAGAGCCAAUUACAAGAGCAAAAUGUACAGGAUCAGUACUUCUGGUAUAUUUACGGAACUGCUGCUGUGAUUAUCAUCAUUGCUAAUGAUCCAUCAUGGGAAUGUUUUCAUGACCUGUGGCCCAAUUUACAUGGAUCCUUUUGUUGAUUUCUGCUUCAUAACUAGGAUGCCAUUGUCCAGGCCUGUCUUUCACAUUUGUUGGGCCCAGGCCAACAGUGCAAAUGGAGGCCGACAUACUUAAAUAUUAUAAAUUCAGCUAACAGCAGUGUGAAUUAUUUAAUAUUGCAAAAUGCUCCUUAGCCACCAUACAUAUGCAACUGGUAUGAAUGCAGCACUAAUUAGUGACAGCACCUGGAACACACAUGGGAUCACAAAGAGAAGCAAAAAGUGGAUGCUCAGCACUAGUGGGAAAUUAUAUUCUGUUGUGCAAGAAUCUUGCUCUCUGAGAGCAAGGAUUGGGUAAAUCCAUUGUGUUUCUUUAUCUCAGCACACUGCCCACCUCCCAAGCUGCCUGCUUUUAGCCAUCAGCAAUCACCUUUGUUUUGAGACUACAGAACAAAGGGUUUGGAAUUGUUUUUUGCGGGGGCAGGGGGCUCUCAGUGGUGCUCAUCAAGAGGGUAGAUGUUUACUUAGGUUUUGUGCUUGUAAUGUGUAGGGUGCUCAAAAGCAUGGAGUCACUUUGUUGGGUCAGCAUUAUUUUAUUUCAUUUUAUUUCAGUUUUGACUUUAGAUACAGAAAUUUUAGUUCAGCAUACUCCUCGGUUCAUGCUACAACGCAAACUUCGGUGUGUCCAAGGGCCUCUUAAUACUGAAUGUGAAAUUCAGAGUUAGUUUUUCAGAGAACUAUCAAAUUAGACUAAAUGCACUGCUAAGAUGAUGGUUUGCAUCUAUUUAGAGAAAUUUGACUUAAAAUUAAUUUAAGACAGAUUCAGUUUAACUCUUAGAUUUUUUUUUUGUCGAAACAAGUUUCAGGUUUUUUCUUUACUAUCAGAUAAUAAGUGAUUGAGCAUCAGAAGGAUCAAUACCACUGGAUGUAGAUAAGUGUGUAUAGAGGCAGGUGUCUAGGUCCCCGUGAGGAAAAUACAGGGAACCAAGGAAAAGGUGCCAGACUUGUAGGCUGGGCUGCCUGUGUGUGCGGAGCAUGUGGCACAGCUCAUCCUUCAUCUCCAUCACUGGCUUGACCAUUGUGGCUAUCCUGGCAGUCAGCCACUUCUGGUCUCCCUGGCCAGCACGCAUGGGCCUUCCAAUCCCUGUGUUUCCUGACCCCAGCUGUCCAUUCAGCCAUUGUAGCUAGGCACCAUUUGAGCCUUGACAGGGUUUCUGGUAUCCCCUCAAACCCCAGGGGCCUGCAUGCCCUGUGUGCCCACCUCCCCAUUCUUAUCCCUACUGUCUUUCCUGGAGGCCAGGGCCCUGCUUGUGGAAGUUCUCCCUUGGCUGUCGACUGCAGCAGUGGAGAAUGUCCCUACGAGUGAGAGCACUACCACAAGCUGGCCUUGGGUGGCAGCCAUGGGAGUGUGCAGCUCACCUUCCCUUCAGGAGGGAGCCAGUCAAUAGGAGCCUCCAGCUGUAGCGCCCUCCGGAUCUGUGUCUGUGUUUGAACUGUGAAAGAACUGCCAUACUUUCCCAGGCAGCAACAACCAAUGACUAUGUCCAGUGGAGGCACUAGGACCUGACAAUAUCUGUCCAGUGCAGGACUCCUCUAAUGACCAAUCUGUGUUCUAGAGCUCCCAAUUAGGCUGGCCAAGAUUAUCCUGGAGCUGUACAGCUCUGAGGCUCUUCCUAUUUAAUUUUCCUUCCACUCAUCUCCUUUCACAGUGAUCAGAAAUGCACUGUGGUCUGAAGGCUCUCCCUGCCAACUCCUGUUCAUUCCUGCCUGUUCUCCUUCACAGUCAUCUCCCCAAGUGAAUCUCUUGCACUGCCAACUCCAUCUCAACAUCUGCUUCCUGGAGGAUCUGAACAGACAUAACUUGUGAGAAAGUCUGUGUUAGAGAAACCAUAUGUGGCUUUUCAGCUGUUGGCAGAGAAGGAGAAAAAUGCUUUAAGGGAAGGGUGAGCCAACAGUGGCCUUCCCAGAACCACUUGCCUAUAAGAACAUGGCUUGAACAGAAAAUAAAAUGGAGAAAAUGUGGGGGCCCCUUGAUUUCUGUGCUUUCCUGGGUGUAGCCUCUUUUCUGUACAAAGUAUAGGAAGUUUGGGAUCCAGGUCUCAUACUCAUCUCCUUCCUUUGCCAUCAUCCUCUUCCUCUCCAUCCUCCCCACCACCUGCAAGGGCUUUCAACAGGUGGGAUGCAACAGGGAAGAAACUGGCACUGAGGCCCUCUUUUCAUUUGUCCAACCUUCCUACAUAUAAAUUUAUAUGUGUUGUUAAUUUCUUGUGCAAAUAUCUCUUAAUUGUCUGGCUUCCUCUUUAGAAUGUAAGCCCUAUAAGCAAAGGGACCCUGUCUAUCCCAUUUUCAGCAUUGAUUCCCUAGAACCAAAAAAUAGUGUCUGAAACAUAACAGCUACUCAGUAAUAUUGGUUGAUGAAUAAAUGAGUGAGUGAAUGGAGGGUGGACCAUAUUUUUGUGCUUCCAGCAGCUAAAAAAGCAAACCAAGAAAUUAAAUGUGUCCCAAUAGUUUAGUAUGCUAGCCAAAAAUUAGAUCUCCCAUGGCCACCUUUCUAAUGCAUAUAGUCCCUGGGGUGUAUCUAUUCAUGCCCUUACUCCAUCACUGAGCAAUCUCUCUCCCCCAAAUAGUGGCCCCACUGCUGGAGAUGCCAUUCUUGUAUUCAAGAUGCUUUAAAAAAAUUCCUUGUAAGAAGCCUGUUCCCCAACCCCCUGUACUCAGACUUACCCAGAAUGCUAAAGCCAGUUCUGUCUGUGUUGGCCAACAUGUUUAGGGUGCCCUGCAAUUGCUCCCAACUCAGGAAAGCCUGUUAGAUGACAUUCCAGAGGGUGCUCCUCCCAUCUUCUUUUAUUUAAAUAAUUACAAGUCUCUUCUCCUGAAAGAAGUUCCCCAUGGGGCAAAGUCCUUUGGAAGGUGAUCCAAGCCUGGCUUUGCUGAUGUGCACUCAGACUUUAAAAAACAUCCUCUAUCAAUUAUCUCAGGCACUGGAGAUGCCAAUAAGUAAUUAUUUAUCUAAACCAAGAGGAAAAACAAUAGACACACUCAAGAGUUGAGUUUCACUCAAGACUCACUGGGCUUUCAGAGUGGAGGAGGGAAGGCUCUGUGUAUGCUUAUCUUCACCAAGGACCAAAGGAGACAAUGGGUUGAAAGGGCAGUGAAUCCCAAUGACUGCUGAGCAGUAGCUCCUUUUUUAUUUUUAUUAUUAUUUUUUCAUGUUUGUUUACUUUUGAGAGAGAGAGAGAGAGACAGAGCAUGAGUGGUGGAGGGGCAGAGAGAGAGAGGGAGACAGAAUCAGAAGCUGGCUCCAGGCCCUGAGCUGUCAGCACGGAUCCCAUCAUGGGGCUUGAACUCACAAACUGCGAGAUCAUGACCUGAGCUGAAGUCAGAUGCUUAACCGACUGAACCACCCAGGUGCCCUACGAGUAGCUCCUUUUUUAAAAAAUAAGGUUAGCUCACUCUUUCGAGUAUAUUAGACGUGCUCACGGAAGAGGCUGGGCUCUGGAUAAAGUCCUGUAUUCCCAUCUGGUCACCACACUAUAGUAAGCCAAUUCAAGGGCAAGUUGCCAUACCAGGGACAAGUCCUUUCAACAAGAGUCUCUGUCUACCCCUGUCAUUCACUUACUCUGUCUUCCAGAAAACAUUAUAUUAUAUAGAAGAAAAUCUCUCCAAGAUCAAGGUGACAAUAAGUAGGUUUACUCAACUAUUUUUUAUUUAUUCCAGAAACAUUCAUGACAUGUGAACUGCAUGCUAGGAAUUGUUCUAGAAGCUGAGGAUGUGUCAAUGAACAAAACAGGCAAGGUCCCUGCUCUCACAGAGCUUAUUCUUUAAUGGAAAGGAAAGCUGCAAAUAAAUAAGAAGACAAUUUCCAAUAGUAAUGAGUCCCAGGAAGACAAUGAAAGAGAUGAUGUGAUAGAGAGGAUGGGUUCUCUCUGGAUGAGGACAUGUGUUUGGGGACAGAGUUGCUAAUUUGGACUAGUGGUCAGGAAAGAACUCACAGAGGGUUUAACAUUUGAGCUAAGACUUGAACAACCCCAAAAGUCAGCCAUAUAGAGACCUAGAGGUAGAGCUUUCUGGGUAUAUAGAAGAAUAAGAAAAAGCCAAGGUUCUAAGAUGGGAUGAGCUAGGUGUGUUUCAGGAAUCAAAUGAAAGUCCAGAUGGCUGAAGUGUAAUGUAUGGUAGAGGUCAGAGAAGUAGGCUAUGUGAUGAAAAUAACCAACCUGCCAUACUAAUGAAAACUUUAAUGGUCUGUGCCCAUCUCAAUCUCUGGGCACCUAAGACUAGGUGUGUGUUGGUGCAGGGAUCACAGACUGGUAAUGGGAUGUGGGACCUGAGCUGACUUUAGUCAUUUCCACAGUAACACAUACAUGCAGGUGUGUCUAGAAUCCUUUGUUCCCACCAAACUUCUGGGCUGGCCUCUUCCAUGUUUUACUCUCAUGACCAAAUCAACAGAAGUGGCUUUGCAAACUCAGCAUUCCAAACCAACUACAGAAUUCCUAUUUAAACAACUCGUGGUUUAUGAGAGGGAAGUGGUCAGUUCUCAGUGCUUUCCAGUGAUUUCUCUGACUUCCACAUUAAUUCUGUCACUAUGCAGCAUCAGGCUACAGACCAAAUCCAAUUCAAAGAGCACCAGAGCUUCUCACUGGUCAAAACUUUGCAGAGGUUUACAGCACCUUCACUCACUUUCCCUGGUUUCUGUUGACUAUUAGAGCCAAUUUCUGUUGACUAUCUCAGUCAUUUGAGAGUCACACUUCCCACCCAGUGAAGGAAUCUCAGUGCUAACAUCCUUGUCAUCUAUCAUUGACUGGAUUGUUCCUCUAAUGGAGGGUUCACCUCCAUCUGAAGGAGUUGGUCCCUUUAUUGGACAACUUUAGUAAUUAGGAAGCUCAUCUACUUAUUGAGUGGACAUUUAAUCUUCUGGAACAUUUAUGUAGGGGGUAUUUGAAGAGAGUUAUCUUGUAGUCUGAGUCUUCUUAUCUCAGAAUUACAUAUCCAAUUCCUUACCUCUCUCCCUGAUGAAGUUUCUAGAUUAUUUUAAGCCCUCUGAUCUAUGUGUAUGAGUUAGGACUCCUUUGGUAACAAAUGACUGCAAAUUCACAUCAAAUUGAUUUAAACCAAAAAGAUAAUUUGUUGGUUUAUGUAACUGAGAAGUCCAAGAAAAGCACCAGGACUGUCUUCAUUUGGUGUCUGUUUUCUCCCUGUCUAGACCACAGGCUCAGCCUUCCUUUGUGUUGGGUUCAUUCUAGAGCUCUGUGGGGUAGUCCUUGGAACUCUAGGCUCACAGCAGUUUACAAGUGAUGCCCUGACUGGCUGGUCCUGAUUACAUUCCCUGGUAAAGCAAUGAAUAGGGAUCAGCAGCACUAGAAACAAAUGUACUGAGCAUGAGGAAAGAUGUUCUCCCAGAAGGGAAGUGUGGUAUAGCUACCUAGAGGGAAAAAAAAGAAUAGAUGCUUGGGAGCAGAGCAAUAGCACUCCACCUGAAUCACAGAUUUGAAAGUAACCAAUAUGUCCCACUUCAUCUGCUUGGGGUACAAUUAAGGUCAUAUCUCUUUUUGCAGUAUUCUAAUUAUAGACCUCAAGCCUCAAAUCUGAACUUAUUUUUCUCUCUUCCUGGGGUCUACCCUUCCGGGAUAAAUGGACAAGUAAGCAUCCAAGUUGUUAAUUUGUGUUCACUUGUAUGUUAUCCUGCCUCAUGGUAGGAGUAGAACUCAGACCUAUCCCAGAAACCAGAAAUCAGAAAUCACAGUUGUUGCCUCUGAGAUCCCUUGAGACUUCUGUUCUGCUGCUGCUGUGGCCCUCACCAUAAAAGGUGUCACCCUGCUGGUCACAGGUGAGAAUCUGUGGCCAACUGGGACUGAGUCUCCUAUUUAGGUACUGCUCUGGCAGAGGCAGGGGGUCCUCAGGCCCUGAUGGAGGCUGACUUCCAUGCUUCUCCCUUCCUAUGUCCUGAGCUGUAGGCUUAGCCAACAGGGUCCUCAACAAAGUAUGGCCUGGCUUCUGAGCAUGUACGUAAACAACUUUUUAAUGUUUGAGGGCUUUUGAGGAUGGGGAAGAAUUAGUACUCCUGUUCUUUGUUUAAUGGUUCAUUUGUCAAUGUUCCAAAUUUCUCAAAUGAUUAACAUUCCAUUAAUUUUAAAUGCACUGUAUUUCUCUACAUGUUCACACAACACUUACACAAUUAUAAAUCAAAACUCAUUGACUCACAAAUUAAAUUUCCCUAGUCAUUUUCCCAUUGAUGCGAAAUUAUUUAAUCUUCUAAACAUUCAUCAUGUUUAGAAAUCCCAUUAUUAUAAAUCCCAUUCUAAAACAAAUCCAUUAUAUCAGACUUUCUUAAAUACUUCAAAUACUUUAAGAAAUAAAAAUACUCCAAAUAUCACAGUCAUUAUAAAACUGAUUAUUAGACUUUUAUUAAAACCAUUUACAAAUGUGCUAGUACCUGGGGUUUUUUUAUUAUUUCUAUUCUUAUCCUCAUUCUUACUUUUAUUCUAAUAUUUCAUGGAAGUUCUCUUCCUAAGGUUUAUAAGGGAGAAAAUAAAAACCAUCUCUGUUUCUAGUUUUCUCUUUGUGGACUGCUUGCAACAAGGGAUGCUUCAAGCAAAUUUAGCUUUAAACACAGUGAAGUCUGACUUAUUUCACAAUGUUAAUAUAGGUUACACCUAGGGAGUGGCAGUGGGAGACAGAAAGGGAGAAACUUUAAUUUUUCUUGUAUAUACUCGUGUAUCAUUGGAGUAUUUUUUAAUCAAGCAUUUACUACCUUUGUGAUGAUUAAUACAGUUUUCAGAGCUUUGAAUGACAAAAACUAACCCACCUGUGGCCAACACUUCUAAUACUUUUGUAUUCCCUUCUAGUCGUUUUGUUUUUCCGCAGAGGCAUCUCUAUUUCUUUUUGCAAAAUAAAAACCACAACCCAUA
This is a long non-coding RNA of Neofelis nebulosa (Clouded leopard), 9026 nucleotides long. RefSeq lists it as uncharacterized. NCBI's taxonomy places the organism in Eukaryota, Metazoa, Chordata, Mammalia, Carnivora, Felidae. The transcript has 4 exons. The record is from RefSeq and is a predicted model, not a curated record.